AACUGGUUGAUCCUGCCAGACCCAACUGCUAUAUCCAGGGUAAGACUAAGCCAUGCAAGUCGAACGCCCAAGUCAUGUUCUUGGUGCGUGGCGAACUGCUCAGUAACACGUCGUUAAUCUACCCUAUGGUGGGGGACAAUCUCGGGAAACUGAGGCUAAUACCCCAUAGGCGAUUUGUUGUGGAAUUCAUAUUUCGCUCAAAAGGUGCUUGAGACUAUGCGAAAGCAUUCUGCCAUAGGAUGAGACGGCGGCGGAUUAUUUUGAUGGUGAGGUAACGGCUCACUAUGGUAAUGAUCCGUACGGGCUCUGAGAGGAGUAGCCCGGAGAUGGGAACUGA
This 337-nucleotide ribosomal RNA is filed under the name Candidatus Helarchaeota archaeon. RNAcentral's name for it is "bacterial SSU rRNA". It matches the Rfam family "Archaeal small subunit ribosomal RNA", at positions 1 to 306 of the family's 1478-position model. The record is from RNAcentral. Lineage: Archaea; Promethearchaeati; Candidatus Helarchaeota.